This 452-nucleotide ribosomal RNA is filed under the name uncultured bacterium. Its description in RNAcentral is "bacterial SSU rRNA". It matches the Rfam family "Bacterial small subunit ribosomal RNA", at positions 335 to 799 of the family's 1533-position model. The record is from RNAcentral.
ACUCCUACGGGAGGCAGCAGUGGGGAAGUCUUGGACAAUGGGCGCAAGCCUGAUCCAGCCAUGCCGCGUGAGUGAUGAAGGCCUUAGGGUCGUAAAGCUCUUUCGCCAGGGAUGAUAAUGACAGUACCUGGUAAAGAAACCCCGGCUAACUCCGUGCCAGCAGCCGCGGUAAUACGGAGGGGGUUAGGCGUUGUUCGGAAUUACUGGGGCGUAAAGCGCGCGUAGGCGGGGUUGUUAAGUUAGAGGUGAAAUCCCGGGGCUCAACCCCGGAACUGCCUUAAUACUGGCAACCUAGAGUUCGAGAGAGGUGAGUGGAAUUCCGAGUGUAGAGGUGAAAUUCGUAGAUAUUCGGAGGAACACCAGUGGCGAAGGCGGCGUCACUGGCUCGAUACUGACGCUGAGGUGCGAAAGUGUGGGGAGCAAACAGGAUUAGAUACCCUGGUAGGAUAGCG